GAUGAAGAACGCAGCGAAAUGCGAUAAGUAAUGUGAAUUGCAGAAUUCAGUGAAUCAUCGAAUCUUUGAACGCACAUUGCGCCCGCCAGUAUUCUGGCGGGCAUGACUGUUCGAGCGUCAUUUCAACCCUCAAGCCCAGCUUGGUGUUGGUGAUCGGCACAGGCGCCCUCGGGCGCCCGCCGUCCCCUAAAUCUAGUGGCGGUCCCGCUGCAGCCUCCUCUGCGUAGUAGUUUUCUCCUCGCAAGGGCAGCUCGGUGGCGACCUCGCCGUAAAACCCCCAACUUCUGAAAGGUUGACCUCGAAUCAGGUAGGAAUACCCGCUGAACUUAAGCAUAUCAAUAAGCGGAGGA
Molecule: unclassified non-coding RNA, 350 nt
Filed under: soil metagenome
Description: partial contains 5.8S ribosomal RNA, internal transcribed spacer 2, and large subunit ribosomal RNA
Rfam family: 5.8S ribosomal RNA (bases 1-120)
Source: RNAcentral